AGAUGGAUCAUUCACAGUUACACUGUCCAAUUAUGGUCAAUGACAAAAAAACACUCGAACUUAAGGCAAUUGGUUAAUCACUGCAAAUUGAGUUAUCAUUAUUACAAUCACGACUUUCAGCGAUGGAUGUCUCGGAUCCCGUAACGAUGAAGGACGCAGCUAGCUGCGAUACGCAGUGUGACUUGCAAACUUCUGAGAAUCAUUAGAUUUUUGAACGCAAACGGCACUCUUGAGUUCUGCUCAGGAGUAUGCUCACUUCAGUGCUUUAUAUGUUUGUUACCUCAAUUGGGGGGUAACGUGGAUAGACGCUGUGUAAACGGCCUCUGAAGUCAACUGGUCUAUAAUUCUUUGGUGAUCCCUUAGAAGUGAUGGUCAAAAACUUUCAAACAAGCCUGAAUUUGAGCAAGGCUACCCGCUGAAUUUAAGCAUAUUAUUAAGCGGAGGAAAAGAAACUAACUAGGAUUCCCUUAGUAACGGCGAGUGAACAGGGAAGAGCUCAAACUGAAAAUCGACAGUUUACUGUCGAAUUGUAGUCUCACGAAGUGCAGCCUGUGUUUAUCCUGGACUAAGUCUCUUGGAAAAGAGUACCAAAGAGGGUGAAAGUCCCGUCUUUGCCCAGAGAUAUUCACGUUCGGUGCGUUUUCAAAGAGUCGCGUUCCUUGAGAUUGGAGCGCUAAGUGGGUGAUAAAUUUCAUCUAAAGCUAAAUACUAACGAGAUUCCGAUAGCAUACAAGUACCGUGAGGGAAAGAUGAAAAGGACUUUGAAAAGAGAGUUAAAAGGAACUGAAAUUGCUGAAAGGGAAGCGGAGAGUUUUGGCUGUCUAGCAAUUCUCUGCGUCUGACUUAGUUCUGGCUAAGCUUGGGUGCUAGAGUUCUGCAGUGACUCUGGAAGUGGUUUUACUCUCUGAGUAAAGUAUUGAUGGGUUCCCUAUUGGGUUCACUUCUUUACUGGUUUCAGAUUGAGAGAUCCCGCCGUUAUCGUGCCACUUAAGUGGAUUGCGUUAUAGAUUCCAGAAAUGCCGCUUCUCUCCGUCCCGUCUUGAAACACGGACCAAGGAGUCUAACUUAUAUGCAAGUACAAGGGUGUCAAACCCACGUGCGAAAUGAAAGUAACUGUUAGGAUGGGCAACCUGCACUAACACCCAGCUACCAAGUUGAGGUUGAGCAUAUAGGUUAGGACCCGAAAGAUGGUGAACUAUGCCUGAGUAGGGUGAAGCCAGAGGAAACUCUGGUGGAAGCUCGUAGCGAUACUGACGUGCAAAUCGUUCGUCAAACUUGGGUAUAGGGGCGAAAGACUAAUCGAACCAUCUAGUAGCUGGUUCCCUC
This 1326-nucleotide unclassified non-coding RNA is filed under the name uncultured fungus. RNAcentral's name for it is "sequence contains 18S rRNA gene, ITS1, 5.8S rRNA gene, ITS2, 28S rRNA gene". The stretch from base 389 to 1326 matches the Rfam family "Eukaryotic large subunit ribosomal RNA", at positions 1 to 961 of the family's 3401-position model. Lineage: Eukaryota; Fungi. The record is from RNAcentral.